This 355-nucleotide long non-coding RNA is filed under the name Brassica napus (rape). RNAcentral describes it as "long non-coding RNA (BNAP_LNC010088)". Lineage: Eukaryota; Viridiplantae; Streptophyta; Magnoliopsida; Brassicales; Brassicaceae. The record is from RNAcentral.
UGCAGAAUCUGUCCAUGUAUGGAAGUUGUCUUCUCUCCUUGUAUCUUGUGAGUUUGGGCAGAAAGAAAUGCAUCCUUGGGAUCUCCUUUGAUGUCUGGAUAGUCUCUAAGUCGUGCCUGAACAGAAGGGGAAAGAGCCGUUGGUCUUCAAUAACUCCAAGUGUGAAUGCAUCCAUGUAAGGUAAGUUGACAAAUAAGGGAUUCAUCUUGAUCAUGUGGCUGCUGGUGCAUGGUAGAAACUCUCCCACUGCUCUUAGAUGUAAUGAAUGAUCUCCUGGUUUCCACACGUGAGUUUGAGUUGCACACUCCUUAAGCAAAGAAUUACUUUCCUUAAUUAGAACCAAUUCGGAUGCAGU